Molecule: ribosomal RNA, 439 nt
Filed under: uncultured bacterium
Lineage: Bacteria
Description: bacterial SSU rRNA
Rfam family: Bacterial small subunit ribosomal RNA
Source: RNAcentral
UACGGAAGGCAGCAGUGGGGAAUAUUGCACAAUGGGCGCAAGCCUGAUGCAGCCAUGCCGCGUGUAUGAAGAAGGCCUUCGGGUUGUAAAGUACUUUUCAGUCGUGAGGAAGGUGUUAAGGUUAAUAACCUUAGCAAUUGACGUUAGCGACAGAAGAAGCACCGGCUAACUCCGUGCCAGCAGCCGCGGUAAUACGGAGGGUGCGAGCGUUAAUCGGAAUUACUGGGCGUAAAGGGCACGCAGGCGGUUAAUAAGUUGGAUGUGAAAUCCCCGGGCUUAACCUGGGAAUGGCAUUCAAGACUGGUUAGCUAGAGUCUUGUAGAGGGGGUAGAAUUCCAUGUGUAGCGGUGAAAUGCGUAGAGAUGUGGAGGAAUACCGGUGGCGAAGGCGGCCCCUGGACAAAGACUGACGCUCAUGUGCGAAAGCGUGGGGAGCAAAC